Molecule: ribosomal RNA, 615 nt
Filed under: Leuconostoc lactis
Lineage: Bacteria; Bacillati; Bacillota; Bacilli; Lactobacillales; Lactobacillaceae
Description: bacterial SSU rRNA
Rfam family: Bacterial small subunit ribosomal RNA
Source: RNAcentral
CUUGCACCUUUCAAGCGAGUGGCGAACGGGUGAGUAACACGUGGAUAACCUGCCUCAAGGCUGGGGAUAACAUUUGGAAACAGAUGCUAAUACCGAAUAAAACUUAGUAUCGCAUGAUACAAAGUUGAAAGGCGCUACGGCGUCACCUAGAGAUGGGUCCGCGGUGCAUUAGUUAGUUGGUGGGGUAAAGGCCUACCAAGACAAUGAUGCAUAGCCGAGUUGAGAGACUGAUCGGCCACAUUGGGACUGAGACACGGCCCAAACUCCUACGGGAGGCUGCAGUAGGGAAUCUUCCACAAUGGGCGAAAGCCUGAUGGAGCAACGCCGCGUGUGUGAUGAAGGCUUUAGGGUCGUAAAGCACUGUUGUAUGGGAAGAAAUGCUAGAAUAGGGAAUGAUUCUAGUUCGACGGUACCAUACCAGAAAGGGACGGCUAAAUACGUGCCAGCAGCCGCGGUAAUACGUAUGUCCCGAGCGUUAUCCGGAUUUAUUGGGCGUAAAGCGAGCGCAGACGGUUGAUUAAGUCUGAUGUGAAAGCCCGGAGCUCAACUCCGGAAUGGCAUUGGAAACUGGUUAACUUGAGUGUUGUAGAGGUAAGUGGAACUCCUGGUUAACCG